This 395-nucleotide ribosomal RNA is filed under the name uncultured bacterium. Its description in RNAcentral is "bacterial SSU rRNA". It matches the Rfam family "Bacterial small subunit ribosomal RNA", at positions 29 to 427 of the family's 1533-position model. The record is from RNAcentral.
AUUAAACGCUGGCGGCAUGCCUUACACAUGCAAGUCGAACGGCAGCACGGGGGCAACCCUGGUGGCGAGUGGCGGACGGGUGAGUAAAGCAUCGGAACGUAUCCUGGAGUGGGGGAUAACGUAGCGAAAGUUACGCUAAUACCGCAUAUUCUGUGAGCAGGAAAGCAGGGGAUCGCAAGACCUUGCGCUCUGGGAGCGGCCGAUGUCGGAUUAGCUAGUUGGUGGGUAAAGGCCUACCAAGGCGACGAUCCGUAGCGGGUCUGAGAGGAUGAUCCGCCACACUGGGACUGAGACACGGCCCAGACUCCUACGGGAGGCAGCAGUAGGGAAUUUUGGACAAUGGGCGCAAGCCUGAUCCAGCCAUGCCGCGUGAGUGAAGAAGGCCUCGGGUUGUU